GCAGUCGUGGCCGAGUGGUUAGGGCGAUGGACUUGAAACCCAUUGGGAUUUUCCGGCGCAGGUUUGAAUCCUGCCGGCUGCG
This 82-nucleotide transfer RNA is filed under the name Haemaphysalis longicornis (longhorned tick). It matches the Rfam family "tRNA". From Rfam's summary of the family: Transfer RNA (tRNA) molecules are approximately 80 nucleotides in length. Their secondary structure includes four short double-helical elements and three loops (D, anti-codon, and T loops). The record is from Rfam by way of RNAcentral. Lineage: Eukaryota; Metazoa; Arthropoda; Arachnida; Ixodida; Ixodidae.